This 82-nucleotide transfer RNA is filed under the name Vulcanimicrobiota bacterium. Its description in RNAcentral is "tRNA-Thr". It matches the Rfam family "tRNA". From Rfam's summary of the family: Transfer RNA (tRNA) molecules are approximately 80 nucleotides in length. Their secondary structure includes four short double-helical elements and three loops (D, anti-codon, and T loops). Further hydrogen bonds mediate the characteristic L-shaped molecular structure. tRNAs have two regions of fundamental functional importance: the anti-codon, which is responsible for specific mRNA codon recognition, and the 3' end, to which the tRNAs corresponding amino acid is attached (by aminoacyl-tRNA synthetases). tRNAs cope with the degeneracy of the genetic code in two manners: having more than one tRNA (with a specific anti-codon) for a particular amino acid; and 'wobble' base-pairing, i.e. permitting non-standard base-pairing at the 3rd anti-codon position. Lineage: Bacteria; Bacillati; Vulcanimicrobiota. The record is from RNAcentral.
GCCGACGUGGCUGAGCGGUUGAAGGCACUAGAUUUGUAAUCUAGCUCGAAAGACGCCGCCGGUUCGAAUCCGGCCGUCGGCU